AGAGACAGCUGGGAUCUGGUGUUGCUGUGGCUGAGGCAUAGGCCAGCAUCUGUAGCCCUAAUUCGACUUCUGACCUGGGAACUUCAUAUGCCAUAGGUGCAGUCCUAAAAAGAUAAAGGAAAGGAAAAGCCUUCUGGCUAGAGAGCAUGUUCGCUGCGCAGCGGCACCUCCUUGCCUACUGAUAAGAAAAGCGCAGGUCAUCAUGUUGCCCACAAUCCUUGUGAGCUCAUUUCUGCACCUAGUUGCCAACAUCAGUAGGCAGGAUUGGGGAUUGGUGCCCACAUUACUAGAAACAUAAAUGAUUAAAUUUGUGCCUUGAGAACCGCAUAAGAUUCUAUGCGAGGUGCAGACAGGUAUUUGGCUUUCCAAAGAAGAGAUAUCAUCAUUGCGUCUUUCUUUUAUACUAGAAUUCAUGAAGAACAAACCUGUGCAAAGGACUGUGGACAAUGUCGACUUGGACUAGGUCUCGGUUAGCCUCACCCCAGGGCUUUUCCCACAUUCAUCUCUACAGCGCUUAGAGCUCUUGCAGCAUCUGUUAGGCCAGCGUAAAUAGCAUGGGAUGAAUGUUGCUCUUAAAUAUAAUAAGAUAAAAUAAUUUUUAAACUAUAAAUAUCCUUUUCAAAUGUCAUUUUGUCUUCAGCAUUUUUCUCAUCAGAGGAACAAGAACUAUUGAGUUGGAAAAGAGAGGAGGAGUCCCUGCACUAACAGACCUCAGAGUUAGAAGCAAUUGAAUUCAGGGCAUAUUUGAAUAUUUCUCUAAAGAAAAAAAUUAUUUUAGACUGCUUUUUACUUGUAGUAGACUCUAGAUAUUUUUUCUGUUUAAGUCAGUGAGCCUGCAAUAAACUACAUGUCUUUAGAAUGUAUGUCAGAGUCAGAUGGCCUUUUAUUCUAUCACGUCUAAUUUUUCAACUUGUCUUCUUCAAAUGUAUUGUUUCCUGUAAAUCCUUAAUGUACUAUUAGUGUCAAAUUCAGAAAUGGAUUAUCUGUUUAAAUAUUUAUAAACCUAAGCAGGGUGUUUUCUGUGAUUAUUGCCACAUAAAUUACUGAUUUUAGAGAGAGUGCACAUUUUCAAACAUUGAGACCAAUUUUUUUUUUCAUUAAAAAAUUUCUAGGAGUUCCCGUCAUGGCUUAAUGAUUCGUUAACCACCGAGCCACAAAGGAAACUCCUGUUCAACAGACUUUGAGUGAAUGUCUCAGGAGAAGUGACUGGGUAGCUCCCAUUCCAAAAGCAUUUCAGUGCCUGGAGGGAAGACAGACUGUUAUAUCAAAUAAUCACAAUAAAAAAGAUAGGGAGACAGCUGAGUAUUAUCAAACAGUAGCAAUUCUUAUGUUCUGUGUUUUUCUGUUUCCCGUGUAUUCUUUUUUAUUUUUUGGCCAUGCCACAGUGUCUGGAAGUUACCAGGCCAGGAUCAAACCUGUACCAUAGCUGCAAUCCAAACCACAGAAGUCACAAUGCCAGAUCCUUAACCCACUGUGCCACCAGGGAACUCAGCUCGCUCAUAUUCUUAUGUUGAAGUAAUAAUCCCCAAUGAGAUGGCAUUAGGGGGUGGGGCCUUUAGAAGGCAGUUUGGUUUAGAUGAAGUCAUAGGGAUGAGGUCUCCAUAACAGGAUUAGCAUCCUUACAUGGAGAAAAAGAGACUAGAGCUUUCUCUCUCUACCAUGUAAGGACACAGCAAGGAGAUAGCACUGCAAACCAGGAAGAGGGCCUUUACUAGAACCUGACCAAGCAGGUACCCUGACCUCAGGUUUCCCGGCCUCCAAAACUGUAAGAAAUAAAUUUUCUAUUGUUUAAGCCACCCAGUCUAUGGUACUUUUGUUACAGCAGCCUGAGCUGACUAAAACAGCAAUUAACUGUUCCCCAAAGUUAAGUGCGGGUGUGGGCCUACUGCUCCAGAGGCAGUAUCACCCAACGCACAGAUUCAAGACCUUGGUCAAAACCUUCCGGUAAGUCUCCUUCCAGGUGCUGGCUUGUCUUAAAUUCCUCACGCUCUUCCUCUCAGUAGUAAAUCAUCACUAAUGCUGACUAAAUGGAAAAGUCCUGCUUAACCACUGGAGACUCCGGGUGCCAGGUGCUCCUGAAAUAUCACAGGCAGAGUUUCUGCUACAAGGUGGUUAAAAAAAAGUACUCCAGUAAGGAUAACCUGACCCCCUUGCUGUACAGUGGGAAAAUUAAAAAAAAAAAAAAAAAAAAAAAA
Molecule: long non-coding RNA, 2195 nt
Filed under: Sus scrofa (pig)
Lineage: Eukaryota; Metazoa; Chordata; Mammalia; Artiodactyla; Suidae
Description: lncRNA (ENSSSCG00060013942.1)
Source: RNAcentral